Molecule: ribosomal RNA, 253 nt
Filed under: uncultured bacterium
Lineage: Bacteria
Description: partial 16S ribosomal RNA
Rfam family: Bacterial small subunit ribosomal RNA
Source: RNAcentral
UACGUAGGUGGCAAGCGUUGUCCGGAUUUAUUGGGUUUAAAGGGUGCGUAGGCGGUUUUCUAAGUCAGCAGUGAAAUACGGCAGCUCAACUGUCGAGGUGCUGUUGAUACUGGGGAACUUGAGUACUGAUGAGGUAGGCGGAAUGGACGGUGUAGCGGUGAAAUGCUUAGAGAUCGUCCAGAACACCGAUAGCGAAGGCAGCUUACUAAGGAGUAACUGACGCUGAGGCACGAAAAUGUGGGGAUCAAACAGG